RNAcentral lists this non-coding RNA (184 nucleotides) under Clostridium sp. Lineage: Bacteria; Bacillati; Bacillota; Clostridia; Eubacteriales; Clostridiaceae. The record is from RNAcentral.
GUGGUUUUUAUAUACAUAUAAAUGACAAAUUGAUUUAUAUUAAAGAGGGGAAGCAGGUGAAACUCCUGUGCGGUGCCGCCACUGUGAAUGCCUAGUUACAAUUGGUUUUACUAGGAGUUUUGCUAGUAGAGUAAGUGUAACAUUCAGGUUCAGCCAGAAUACCUUUAUAUAAUACUCACCCAGG